AGUGAACGCUGGCGGUAGGCCUAACACAUGCAAGUCGAACGGCAGCACAGGAGAGCUUGCUCUCUGGGUGGCGAGUGGCGGACGGGUGAGGAAUACAUCGGAAUCUACUUUUUCGUGGGGGAUAACGUAGGGAAACUUACGCUAAUACCGCAUACGACCUACGGGUGAAAGCAGGGGACCUUCGGGCCUUGCGCGAUUGAAUGAGCCGAUGUCGGAUUAGCUAGUUGGCGGGGUAACGGCCCACCAAGGCGACGAUCCGUAGCUGGUCUGAGAGUAUGAUCAGCCACACUGGAACUGAGACACGGUCCAGACUCCUACGGGAGGCAGCAGUGGGGAAUAUUUGACAAUGGGAGCAAGCCUGAUCCAGCCAUACCGCGUGGGUGAAGAAGGCCUUCGGGUUGUAAAGCCCUUUUGUUGGGAAAGAAAUCCAGCUGGCUAAUACCCGGUUGGGAUGACGGUACCCAAAGAAUAAGCACCGGCUAACUUCGUGCCAGCCGCCGCAGUAA
RNAcentral lists this ribosomal RNA (506 nucleotides) under uncultured bacterium. Its description in RNAcentral is "partial 16S ribosomal RNA". It matches the Rfam family "Bacterial small subunit ribosomal RNA", at positions 29 to 523 of the family's 1533-position model. The record is from RNAcentral.